Small nuclear RNA from Labrus mixtus (cuckoo wrasse), 183 nucleotides. RefSeq annotates it as U2 spliceosomal RNA. The transcript has a single exon. NCBI's taxonomy places the organism in Eukaryota, Metazoa, Chordata, Actinopteri, Labriformes, Labridae. The record is from RefSeq and is a predicted model, not a curated record.
GUCGCUUCUCUGCCUUUUGGCUAAGAUCAAGUGUGGUAUUCUUAUCAGUUUAAUAUCUGUACCUUUGAAUUGCUCCCCGGGGACAAAUAAAGUUUUUUUGAAUUUGAACUGAAUUUGAAUGUGACAUUAAUGAUGGAGUCAGUAGCUUUUCCCUACAUAAAUAAAAUACAGACUUCUCCUAAA